Molecule: long non-coding RNA, 3942 nt
Organism: Mus musculus (house mouse)
Lineage: Eukaryota; Metazoa; Chordata; Mammalia; Rodentia; Muridae
Product: predicted gene, 42338
Exons: 3
Source: RefSeq, a predicted model, not a curated record
CUCCUGAGAGCUGGGAUUAAAGGUGUGUGUCACCACGCCCAGUUUUAGAUCUCUAUUGCUAACAAUCUCACCUUUUCCUGAAUAGUAACUUCUAGGAAAGAAUUCUUUUAAAGUGUGUGCAGAGGCCAGAGGAGGGUGGCAGAUCCGUGGAGGUGGAGUGAUAGGUGGCUGUGAGCUGCCUGAUGCAGCUGCGCGGAGCAGAAGUCAAGUCCUGUGCAAGAGCCACAGAGGCAGAGUGCUUGCUUAGCAUGCACAAAUCCCUGGGCUCCAUUUCCGGCACUGUAGAAGGUGACACAUGCCCGUGGUCUCAGCACUUGUGAGGUGGAAGUGAAAGGAACAAACGUUCAAGGUCCUUCCUGGCUACAUUGUGAGUUCGAGGCCAGCCUGGGCUAGAUGCUAUCCAGGCGCCUCCAUCAAGGACCUCCAACCAUCAAGGACCCCAAGCUAAGCCCUCCCGAAGAGCUGAACUCUGCACAGCUGACGGAUGGUGGGCACUCUGGCGUUAGACACCCUAGUUUCAGCAACUGAGAAAUCCAGUCACAGUCAGAGGGGAGGCCAGGGGAAGGGAAUCAUUUGUCCUUGUUCUUCCUUUGCUGAGGUUGGCGAAGCUUUGAAGCCAAUCAGGUGUUGAGUCCUAGACUCUGUGCUAGUCACACUGGCUCUCCCAGGGCUCAAGGUCUACAAGCUCCUUCAAGGGGCUCAGCAAUACUGGCUGAGGACCAGUCCCCUCCCUUUGACAUUUCUGUCACUCAUACCUUUAUGACUCUGCUUCAAAUCUCCCCCUGUGGAGGUCUCUGACAAACAGUUCGGAGAGAUCCUCUUUCCUACCGUGACAGACGCUCUCAUGCACCAUCCUGGGAUUUUGUUUCUGACACAAGCAAUGGUUAAUCUAAAAAGAGCAAACCUCAACUAACUGAAAAAAAUGCCUCUGUAAGAUUGGUCUGUGGGGCUGGGCAGGGGUGGUGCACACCUUUAAUCCCAGCACUUGGGAGGCAGAGGCAGGUGGAUUUCUGAGUUCGAGGCCAGCCUGGUCUACAAAGUGAGUUCCAGGACAGUCAGGGCUACACAGAGAAACCCUGUCUCGGAAAAAAAAAAAAAAAAAAAAAAAAAAAACUCAAAAAAGAAAAAAAAAAAAAGAUUGGUCUGUGGGGUUCCUUUUUUUGUUUUUUCGAGACAGUGUUUCUCUGUGUAGCCCUGGCUGUCCUGGAACUCACUCUGUAGACCAGGCUGGCCUCGAACUCAGAAAUCCGCCUGCCUCUGCCUCCCAAGUGCUGGGAUUAAAGGUAUGCACCACCAUGCCUGGAUAUUAUUAUUAUUAUUAUUAUUAUUAUUAUUAUUAUUACUAUUAAUGAUAUGGGAGGGCUCAGCCCCCUGUGGGAUAUAGGGCUACCAUGGAACAGGUAGUCCUGCGGUUAUAUAAGAAGUCAGGGUGAGCAAGCCAGGAAAAGCAAGCCGGUAAGCAGCACUCUUCCAUGGCCCCUAGUUCAGUCCUAGCCUGUAGGUUCUGGCCUGGAGGAGUUCCUGUCCUGACUUCCUUCAUUGAUGUACUAUGGUAAGCUGUAAGAUGAACCCUCUCCUCCUCAAGUUGUUUUUGAUCCGCGUGUUGAUCACACCAAUAGAAGGCAAGCUGGGGCCAUCUUAAGUCCCGCCUUAACGGCUGCACAGGCCACGUGGCCCCACCUCCUCCCUGGGACAUUUUACUCUAUACUUGUUUCUUUCUGUCUCCUCCCUUCCUGCACACAGGCUCCAUGAGGGCCAAGGAUGCUUCCUGUGGAGACAGAUCCUCUCAGAAUGGUCUUCAAGAUGUGCAAAGUCCUGAAGGCCUGAGGAGCCUGUCCCCAGCUCAGGGCUGCCGGGCGAGUGAGCAGACCCAGCUACUCUGGUGUACUGCCCUGAAGCCGGUCCACCUCAGGGUUUGGUUCUGUUAUUCAUCUGCUGGAGAGGGCAUCUGUUUGUCUCAGAAGGAGCCACGUCUGGAUGGAAGCAGAUAGGAGAUGCUGAACUGGGGAAGAAGGAGAGGCUCAGCAGCCAGGCCGGACUCUUAGUCUUUCCUGCACUGGGAGAGGAAGCCCCACGUGACCCUUCCUCAUGCCCCUCUGGGAACUCUCUUACUGAGAGAGGACUCGGAUUCUUUCUCAUACAACUCUUGAGCCCUCUGACCCUCUCUGGCUUUGGAAACAGGAAGUAGCCUGGAUGAGGACCACUGUCCAAAUGCCUUUUAUCUUGGGCUCUCCCUCCCCCAUCAGCUUCAGCUGUGAGACAGAAACUAAAAGUAACCAUUCAAACUUAUGGGGAGUGGCUGGGCAGGGGUUGGGGGGGGGGGCGGAGGGCUGGUAUGUGUAAGGUCCCUGUGUGCCUUUCUCUGUCUGUAGCACAAAGUUUGGUAUACAGUAAGUGCUCAAUACUGGCUGUGGGUCAGGUCCUGCUUUGCAGGCUUAGGAGUCCAACAGGAGCAACUGGAUCUCCUACCCAGCUUAGCUUUCAACCCACCUGGGUCAUUGCACUCUUCCUUCUGGUUGCCCUGAGAAACGGGAAAGCACAUCUAUUUACGUGCUCUGGCCAGCACUCAACACCAGGGACGGCUGGCUGGACCUCAAGCCCUUUCAUCUGGGCCGCCGGAAGCCCUGGCUCGCUGGUUGUCUGGCAGGGGCAGUGUCUUUGUUGACAGAGUUGGCUUUGUUUCUUCUGCAGAUGCUUCCCAGAAGCAUCUGGUUUCCCAAAGUGAAUGGAAAGGAUGCUCUGAACUCUAGGAAACGGAGACCUCAAGGAACCACUGUGCACCACAGUCGGCCUACUAGGAAUGAUGGCUCAGGCCACAGUACCAGGCAUGGGUGCAGAGUAUCAGCUUUGAGGACCACCUGACCGGCCACUCAGGCAUGCUUCCCACUGGAUGAGCACCUGGGACUUCCGGGCAGUCACACAGGGAGACCUUAUCAAGUGACCACCAUGGUAUGGGGGCAUUGUGGGGGGGUCACAUUAACUGCAUGGCUCUCUGGGAAGGUCAUUUGCUUCUGUUCCAUGCAGUUUAGAAAGGCCCUCAAGCCCCAGCAAUUUCACAGCCAAACGUGAGUUCUAUGUGGCAGCCAUACUAAUUACGGCAUCAGGUUAAGGGAGACACAGCUGUGUAGAGAGAACAUCUUGUGUCACCUGUCAAUUAAAAAGUCUACGGCCCCUUGCUUAGGCAGGAAAUAGAAGGUGGGAUGCCCAGGAGGCAGAAAGAAUUCUGGGAAAGAACAAGGCACGGGAAGAUCCACCCAGGAAGAUGUGAGGUGAUGGAGCCAGGGUACCUGAGCACGGGUAACCAACUAGGUGGCAGAAUGUAUGUUAAGAUAAUUGGGUUGUUUUAGUGAUGAUGAUCUUGUCAGAGAAGAGCCUAGCUGUAUGGCCAAGGGAUUUGUAAAUAUGUUUUGAGCCCGAGUCUUGUUUCUGGGAGGAAACACCAAGCUUAGCUUCUACAGAGCUGAACUCUCCAUCGUGUGGGGACCGGCUGGAUCAAAUGGACACAGCAUGGAAUUCUACGCAGCCACUCACGGGGACAAAGUGGACGUUUACGGACUCAGUUGGAGAAGAUGCCAUUGAAUGGAGUGGGCUGGGGUGACGGCUCAGUGGUUAAGAACAUCUGCUCAAGCACUUCUGCAAGCAUUAGGGACUUUGGAUUCCCGGCAGCCAUUUGAAAAAGUUAAGCAUGGUUGUGUGUACCCCAGAGCUGGUGGGGAAGGAGUUCUCUAGGUUCAGGGAGGGACUCUAUCUCAAGGUCGAUAAGACAGAGACAGACGGAUAGCCAAUGGUCUCCACACACACAUAUCACACAUGUGAGCACACAGGCACACAAAAGAGACAGAGAGAGAUAAACAAAUUGAAGAGUUAGCAAACAAUUACCUACCAGGUAGAGGUUUGUACAGGUCAUGUGUUUGUGAGUAUGCAUAAAUAAAAUAUAUUUCC